GGUCUCGUAGUACAAUGGAUAGUAUGUGGGUUUCCGGAACCCAAGAUACAGGUUCGAUCCCUGUCGAGACUACCA
This 75-nucleotide transfer RNA is filed under the name Haliscomenobacter sp. Its description in RNAcentral is "tRNA-Arg". It matches the Rfam family "tRNA". Rfam says of the family: Transfer RNA (tRNA) molecules are approximately 80 nucleotides in length. Their secondary structure includes four short double-helical elements and three loops (D, anti-codon, and T loops). The record is from RNAcentral. Lineage: Bacteria; Pseudomonadati; Bacteroidota; Saprospiria; Saprospirales; Haliscomenobacteraceae.